ACUCAAAGGAAUUGACGGGGGCCCGCACAAGCAGCGGAGCAUGUUGCUUAAUUCGAGGCAACGCGAAGAACCUUACCUGGGUUUGACAUGGUAGGAAAAGCCACAGAGAUGUGGUGUCCUUUUGGGCCUAUCACAGGUGGUGCAUGGCUGUCGUCAGCUCGUGUCGUGAGAUGUUGGGUUAAGUCCCGCAACGAGCGCAACCCUUGUCCUAUGUUGCCAGCACGUAAUGGUGGGGACUCGUAGGAGACUGCCGGGGUCAACUCGGAGGAAGGUGGGGACGACGUCAAGUCAUCAUGCCCCUUAUGUCCAGGGCUGCAAACAUGCUACAAUGGCCAGUACAAAGGGCUGCGAAACCGCGAGGUCGAGCGAAUCCCACAAAGCUGGUCUCAGUUCGGAUCGGAGUCUGCAACUCGACUCCGUGAAGCUGGAGUUGCUAGUAAUCCCGGAUCAGCAACGCCGGGGUGAAUACGUUCCCGGGCCUUGUACACACCGCCCGU
This 497-nucleotide ribosomal RNA is filed under the name uncultured bacterium. RNAcentral describes it as "partial 16S ribosomal RNA". It matches the Rfam family "Bacterial small subunit ribosomal RNA", at positions 899 to 1397 of the family's 1533-position model. The record is from RNAcentral.